AGGAUGGAACAGAAGGGGACUCCUCUUUGGAAAGAUAGAAUUUGCUGAAGCUCUGGUUUUUGACCAGCUCUCAGAACCACUCUCAGGAGUCAUCCACGUGCUCGGUGGUUGCUGCUCUCUUCAGAGAUUAUAAUCUCCUUCAAGCAGAGACUCAUCUUCUUGCACAACUCUGAAUGCCACUGAAGUCAGAAACUGCACAGCCAUCAACACCGAGAUAAUGCAGAAGACCCUGAUGUAUUUUGCAAUUCUAUAUCUGAAAGAACAGCUAGGAGUGCCAUGAUCUGCCCCUUUGACAGCCAUGGGAGGUAGAUAUAGAGAAGACAGCCUCAGGCAUGGAUCUGCAGUCACUGCCA
Molecule: long non-coding RNA, 353 nt
Filed under: Gallus gallus (chicken)
Lineage: Eukaryota; Metazoa; Chordata; Aves; Galliformes; Phasianidae
Source: RNAcentral